AGAGUUUGAUCCUGGCUCAGAACGAACGCUGGCGGCAUGCCUAACACAUGCAAGUCGAACGAACCCUUCGGGGUUAGUGGCGCACGGGUGCGUAACGCGUGGGAAUCUGCCCUUUGCUUCGGAAUAACAGUUAGAAAUGACUGCUAAUACCGGAUGAUGUCUUCGGACCAAAGAUUUAUCGGCAAAGGAUGAGCCCGCGUAGGAUUAGGUAGUUGGUGGGGUAAAGGCCUACCAAGCCGACGAUCCUUAGCUGGUCUGAGAGGAUGAUCAGCCACACUGGGACUGAGACACGGCCCAGACUCCUACGGGAGGCAGCAGUGGGGAAUAUUGGACAAUGGACGCAAGUCUGAUCCAGCAAUGCCGCGUGAGUGAUGAAGGCCUUAGGGUUGUAAAGCUCUUUUACCAGGGAUGAUAAUGACAGUACCUGGAGAAUAAGCUCCGGCCAACUCCGUGCCAGCAGCCGCGGUAAUACGGAGGGAGCUAGCGUUGUUCGGAAUUACUGGGCGUAAAGCGCACGUAGGCGGUUACUCAAGUCAGAGGUGAAAGCCCGGGGCUCAACCCCGGAACUGCCUUUGAAACUAGGUAACUAGAAUCCUGGAGAGGUGAGUGGAAUUCCGAGUGUAGAGGUGAAGUUCGUAGAUAUUCGGAAGAACUCCAGUGGCGAAGGCGGCUCACUGGACAGGUAUUGACGC
Molecule: ribosomal RNA, 692 nt
Filed under: uncultured bacterium
Lineage: Bacteria
Description: bacterial SSU rRNA
Rfam family: Bacterial small subunit ribosomal RNA
Source: RNAcentral